GCGGGAAUAGCUCAGUUGGUAGAGGAUCAGCCUUCCAAGCUGAGGGUCGCGGGUUCGAGUCCCGUCUCCCGCU
RNAcentral lists this transfer RNA (73 nucleotides) under Gemmatimonadota bacterium. RNAcentral's name for it is "Gemmatimonadetes bacterium (marine metagenome) tRNA-Gly". It matches the Rfam family "tRNA". From Rfam's summary of the family: Transfer RNA (tRNA) molecules are approximately 80 nucleotides in length. The record is from RNAcentral. Lineage: Bacteria; Pseudomonadati; Gemmatimonadota.